UAGGGAAUCUUCCGCAAUGGGCGAAAGCCUGACGGAGCAACGCUGCGUGAGUGAUGAAGGUCUUCGGAUCGUAAAACUCUGUUAUUAGGGAAGAAUAAAUGUGUAAGUAACUAUGCACGUCUUGACGGUACCUAAUCAGAAAGCCACGGCUAACUACGUGCCAGCAGCCGCGGUAAUACGUAGGUGGCAAGCGUUGUCCGGAUUUAUUGGGCGUAAAGCGAGCGCAGGCGGUCAAUUAAGUCUGAUGUGAAAGCCCCCGGCUCAACCGGGGAGGGUCAUUGGAAACUGGUUGACUUGAGUGCAGAAGAGGAGAGUGGAAUUCCAUGUGUAGCGGUGAAAUGCGUAGAUAUAUGGAGGAACACCAGUGGCGAAGGCGACUCUCUGGUCUGUAACUGACGCUGAGGUUCGAAAGCGUGGGUAGCAAACAGG
This 429-nucleotide ribosomal RNA is filed under the name Bacteroidota bacterium. Its description in RNAcentral is "Bacteroidetes bacterium partial 16S ribosomal RNA". It matches the Rfam family "Bacterial small subunit ribosomal RNA", at positions 355 to 776 of the family's 1533-position model. The record is from RNAcentral. Lineage: Bacteria; Pseudomonadati; Bacteroidota.